RNAcentral lists this ribosomal RNA (253 nucleotides) under uncultured bacterium. RNAcentral describes it as "partial 16S ribosomal RNA". It matches the Rfam family "Bacterial small subunit ribosomal RNA", at positions 524 to 776 of the family's 1533-position model. The record is from RNAcentral.
UACGGAGGGGGCUAGCGUUGUUCGGAAUUACUGGGCGUAAAGCGCGCGUAGGCGGCUUUGUAAGUCAGAGGUGAAAUCCCGGGGCUCAACUCCGGAACUGCCUUUGAAACUGCAUCGCUUGAAUCCGGGAGAGGUGAGUGGAAUUCCGAGUGUAGAGGUGAAAUUCGUAGAUAUUCGGAAGAACACCAGUGGCGAAGGCGGCUCACUGGACCGGUACUGACGCUGAGGUGCGAAAGCGUGGGGAGCAAACAGG